This 521-nucleotide ribosomal RNA is filed under the name Bacillus thuringiensis. Its description in RNAcentral is "bacterial SSU rRNA". It matches the Rfam family "Bacterial small subunit ribosomal RNA", at positions 834 to 1357 of the family's 1533-position model. Lineage: Bacteria; Bacillati; Bacillota; Bacilli; Caryophanales; Bacillaceae. The record is from RNAcentral.
CGCCCUUUAGUGCUGAAGUUAACGCAUUAAGCACUCCGCCUGGGGAGUACGGCCGCAAGGUGAAACUCAAAGGAAUUGACGGGGGCCCGCACAAGCGGUGGAGCAUGUGGUUUAAUUCGAAGCAACGCGAAGAACCUUACCAGGUCUUGACAUCCUCUGAAAACCCUAGAGAUAGGGCUUCUCCUUCGGGAGCAGAGUGACAGGUGGUGCAUGGUUGUCGUCAGCUCGUGUCGUGAGAUGUUGGGUUAAGUCCCGCAACGAGCGCAACCCUUGAUCUUAGUUGCCAUCAUUAAGUUGGGCACUCUAAGGUGACUGCCGGUGACAAACCGGAGGAAGGUGGGGAUGACGUCAAAUCAUCAUGCCCCUUAUGACCUGGGCUACACACGUGCUACAAUGGACGGUACAAAGAGCUGCAAGACCGCGAGGUGGAGCUAAUCUCAUAAAACCGUUCUCAGUUCGGAUUGUAGGCUGCAACUCGCCUACAUGAAGCUGGAAUCGCUAGUAAUCGCGGAUCAGCAUGC